GGGGUUAUGGCUCAGUGGUAGAGUGCUUGCCUAGCACGUGUGAGGCCCUGGGUUCGAUCCUCAGAACCACA
RNAcentral lists this transfer RNA (71 nucleotides) under Ictidomys tridecemlineatus (thirteen-lined ground squirrel). Its description in RNAcentral is "Spermophilus tridecemlineatus (thirteen-lined ground squirrel) tRNA". It matches the Rfam family "tRNA". Rfam says of the family: Transfer RNA (tRNA) molecules are approximately 80 nucleotides in length. Their secondary structure includes four short double-helical elements and three loops (D, anti-codon, and T loops). The record is from Rfam by way of RNAcentral. Lineage: Eukaryota; Metazoa; Chordata; Mammalia; Rodentia; Sciuridae.